Molecule: ribosomal RNA, 336 nt
Filed under: Ixodes scapularis (black-legged tick)
Lineage: Eukaryota; Metazoa; Arthropoda; Arachnida; Ixodida; Ixodidae
Description: partial 16S ribosomal RNA
Source: RNAcentral
GGUAUUGAAAUAAGAUUUUAAAUGAGUGCUAAGAGAAUGAUUAAACAAUUAAAAGCUUUCUUUAAUUAAAAAAUUAAAUUUAAUUUUUUAGUGCAAAAGCAAAAAUAAAAUUUAGGGACAAGAAGACCCUAUGAAUUUUUAUUGUUAAUAAUUAAAAUUUAAGUUAUUAAUAAUUUAAUUGGGGCGAUAAAAAAAGAAUAAGUAUCUUUUUAGUUAUAAAAUAAGUUCCGUUUUUAGCGAUUAAAUGAAAUAAAUACUCUAGGGAUAACAGCGUAAUAAUUUUGGAUAGUUCAUAUAGAUAAAAUAGUUUGCGACCUCGAUGUUGGAUUAGGAUUC